GGGCUGCGGGCGCCGUGCCCCCCGCGGCGCAGGAGGGGAGCGGGGGCCGGGCUCGCUGCCAGCCCCCCCCCCGGGGCAGGGCAGGAAGCGCCCGCGGAUCCGCUGUGCGGUCGCAGCCUGCGGUUUCCUCGCUGCUGUCAGCGCCGAGGCUGGGGCAGCCUCACACGCGAGGCCGCCGGCCCCCGCCUCCGCCAGGGUCCUCGGGCACCCCGGGCAGCCGGGCGGUGCCCCCAGCCCACCCCGCCAGCAUCGGGUCGGGGGGAUACCGGGACCCCUUCCCCGUCCCCCCCCCUCGCGGCACCUCGGCCGUGAGUCACCGUCACGUUUCUCACGUCCCCGGGCAGGCGUGAUUCAUGCCCAGCCCAGCGGCAGGGCCGCAGCCGGCGGCACGCACUCGGUGCAGGCAGCGCGCCGCGGCCACCGCGACAGGGCACGGGGGGGCCGGGGCUGACCCCAGGGGACCCACGCCGCACCCCGGGGCCCGCAGAGCGCCCACGGGCUCGCUCGGCCCCGUCGUGGCUCCCCAGCACCCCGGCACCCGACUGGGCACCCUGCGCUGCCCGGUGUCCUUGCCGGUCCCACGGGUGCCCCGCGGAGCCGCCGGCCGCCCCGCAGGGUGGGCGCUUGCCCCAGCACCCCCGCAUCCCGUUGCCGGGUGGGAGCCGCACGCUGAAAUUCCACCUGUCGCAGCCGGGCCGGCUCCGGUUACGCCGGGAACGCGCCGCUCCGGUUACACCUCCCGCACCCGCCGCGCCAUUCUUCCCCGGGAACAGGUGCCCCGGCCCCUGCUGCGGCCCCCGGCCCCGGCACGGCCCUGCAGCCCCGACAGCACCGCGUCAGCCCCGCCACCCAUGGGUGCUGGCUCAAAACAGAGGCCUGGCAGGAGCCGUCCGGCCCCAACCAGCUCCCGGGGCCGGCAGCACCCACGGGUGCCCCGCCACCGCCGCCGCCUGCCCACGGAGAGGGCACCCACGGGCACCCCACGGCGCAGCCCCAACCCUCGGGGAAAAACCAGGGACCCCGCAUCCCGGGGAGGGACGGAGGGGAUCCACGGUGCCGGGGGGGAGAAUCACGGGGCACCGGGGUGGGCGGGGGGGCUCCCGGCGAGCAGCGGGCUGGCCCCACGGCCGCCGCGUUCGCAUCGGCCCCCGGUUGUUUUUAGCGCUGGAUGCGGCGCACGGCGCCCUGGGAACGGCGUGCCGGGAACAGCGCGGCCCCAGACAGCCCUUUCUGGCUCGGCGACAGCCGGCAGACAAGUGCAGCUGGCUGCGCCGCCGGCCCGCGGCGCGGGGCCGCUCGGGACACGGCGCCCGGGGCCGGCGUGGGUGGACGCAGCGGGCUGGCGGCCGCGCGCUCCGGCGGGCGGUCGGUGCCGCC
This 1377-nucleotide long non-coding RNA is filed under the name Anser brachyrhynchus (Pink-footed goose). RNAcentral describes it as "lncRNA (ENSABRG00000016067.1)". The record is from RNAcentral. Lineage: Eukaryota; Metazoa; Chordata; Aves; Anseriformes; Anatidae.